Molecule: long non-coding RNA, 520 nt
Filed under: Manacus vitellinus (golden-collared manakin)
Lineage: Eukaryota; Metazoa; Chordata; Aves; Passeriformes; Pipridae
Description: lncRNA (ENSMVIG00005004388.1)
Source: RNAcentral
AGUCUCGGGUUUAUAAUUUGAGAGCAUAACCCCAGCCCAGCCCAGCAGUCCCGGGUUGGUCCCGACACACGAGUUUGUCGCAGCGUUCCCAGGAUCUGAGCCACCUGGGAAGGACUUUGAUCACACGAGUUGCUUUAGCGCAGUCUCUCUGUCUUCCCGACUGAGCUCAGGGAAGGACCGAGCCUCACACCCAUGGAAGGAACUAGAAGACUAAUUACAACUUGAAGAAAACCCUAAUUAAAGGAGGAUCACCACGGCUGAGCCAGUCCGUUUGCAGUAGCUCAUAACUGCAUCAAGAACACCAAGAGCUGAAACACCAUCCAUGGCUGGGAGGGAAAUCUGCUUUGGAGGGACAAAUUUAUAAGUGGUGAUGGGGAUAAUUGUCUACUACCCCAUCCUGCCAGGAGCAUUGCCAAGAUGUGGAGCUCGGCUGUGGGAACUGUCAGGAGGAAAAGUAACCAUGUCAUCACUGACCUCUCCCUAGGAAAACCCAUGCAAAUGCAGACGAUGUCGAAGACUU